CGCUUCUAGUAGGCCAAACUCCCAGGUGACCCCCGCAAGAAACGCGGUCCGGAGAGGGUCUGGCCCCACUGCUGGGGCAAGGGCUCUAGGCGCCCGGACCCCACGCCCGCAGCCUGCGGAGAACGUGCCGACAAGGACCUGUAGGGCCCCACUCCCCCUCCUCCCUCCCUCGGCGCAGCCCGGCCCAGGGGUCUGUCCUCCCAGGCCCAGGAAAGGAGGAAACCCACUUCCGCCGCGUCCAUGAUCUCCCGCGGCUUCUCCUGACUCUUGCGGCUGGCGCUGGCGCUGGGCAUCGGGACACGGAACUGGGCAGUGGACACCACCCUCCCUCGCAGGCUUCCAAAGUAAUUUGAAGGCCUUCCCUGACUUAAAGUGGAUGCUGCUUUGGAAAGCACUGGAAAAAUGGAUCCUGUCUUUCUUAGCCAAGGACUGGUCUCUUUUCUCCAAUGUGUCCCUAACAGAGUGGUGAGGCUGGCUCUUCCCACCAGUACAGGAAGAUCAUUCCUUAAAAGAAAUAGCCAUAUGGCUUAUAAGUGUUCUUUCCUGUAUGAAGCCCAAGCUGUCCACUUGGAGAGACAUCUGGCCAGCCCCCCGUUGUUCCAGCCAUCCCCAGUUCAGGCAUCAGACAUGUGGUGAAGAAGCCAUCCUAGAUGCCCAGCCCCAGCUACCAUCUGAUGCAACCACACUGCUCACCCCGAGCAAGAACUGCCUGCAGGAGCCUAGUAUUAUCCUCUCUCACAGAACCAUGGCAGGGAAUAAUAAAUUGUUGUUUGAAGCCAAAAAAAAAAAAAAAAAA
RNAcentral lists this long non-coding RNA (796 nucleotides) under Homo sapiens (human). RNAcentral describes it as "DARS1 antisense RNA 1, transcript variant 2 (DARS1-AS1)". The record is from RNAcentral. Lineage: Eukaryota; Metazoa; Chordata; Mammalia; Primates; Hominidae.